Molecule: long non-coding RNA, 1255 nt
Filed under: Junco hyemalis (dark-eyed junco)
Lineage: Eukaryota; Metazoa; Chordata; Aves; Passeriformes; Passerellidae
Description: lncRNA (ENSJHYG00000007228.1)
Source: RNAcentral
GAGCCUCUUUUAUCCUGGGAAUUAUCACAUUUUAUCCUGGGAAUGAGCACCUUAAUUACAGGAAUCAGCACCUUCUAUCUUGGGAAUCAGCACCUUUAUCCCGGGAAUGAGCACCUUUAUCCUGGGAAUGAGCAUCUUAAUCACAGGAAUCAGCACCUUUAUCCCGGGAAUGAGCAGAUCCCCAGCUGGGAGUGUCCUGGAUGAGGGGGAGAGGUGGGAGCAGAGGGAGGGGAGUCCCUGCUCUUUGGCUUUUGGGAGCUUUGUGAGCUGUGGCUCGGGCUUGGUCCUCAGAGCAGAGCAUCCCCAGAGGUGCUGAUCCCACAGGGACAUUCUCCAUGGAUGUCCUGGUGGUGGCUGAUCCUACAGGGACAUUUCCCAUGGCUGUCCCAGCAGGUGCUGAUCCCACAGAGACAUUCCCCAUGGCUGAUUCCACAGGAACAUCCCCGUGGCUGUUCCUGUGGUGGCAGACCUUAGCAGGACAUCCUCCAUGGCUGUCCCAUCAGGUGCUGAUCCCACAGGGACAUUUCCCAUGGCUGAUCCUAGCAGGACAUUCCCCAUGGAUGUCCUGGCGGUGGCUGAUCUUACAAGGACAGUUCCCGUGGUGGCUGAUCCUACAAGGACAGCUCCUGUGGUGGCUGAUCCUACAAGGACAGCUCCUGUGGUGGCUGAUCCUAGUAGGACAUCCCCAUGCUGUCCCAGUGGCGGUGGCGGCGGUGGCAGGAGAGGAUCCCGUCGUUGUUGCCGGGGGGGGUGGCGAGGGGCAGGGCUGCGCUGUCGGGUGGGACUGGGGGGGUCUCUGGUGGCUUUAGUAGAGCUGGAGCUGCAGCUUCAUCCUCAGUGCCUGGCCCAGCUCCCCCGCCAAGUAGUCGAGGUGGUUGUCAGCCUCGAGUUUGUGCAGUUCCCGCCGGCGGGGCAGGCCCACGCUGACGAUCUCCAGCACGUAGGUGCCCGGCAGGAUUUUCUUGCGGCCCAGGUGCAGGAAGCUGAGCCCGUCCCUGUGGUGGAUGCGGAACAGCCCCUCCUCGUUUCCCUGGGCGAUGGCGUAGCGCACGCGGUUCUCCAGCGGCUCCAGCGCCGGCAGCAGCUCCAGGAUGUGCUCCCUGUGCGCCAGCUCCGACAGGUUCAGCGCCAUGGACAGCGGCGCCUCCACGUCCAUGCUGGCCAGGUUCACCUCGUGAUCCUGCUGGGAACAGCAAAAUUAACACACCAACAGCACAGGUUUGUGCCCAAAGAGGAGAUACAGGAGUCCUUCUGA